RNAcentral lists this ribosomal RNA (402 nucleotides) under uncultured Rhodospirillaceae bacterium. Its description in RNAcentral is "partial 16S ribosomal RNA". It matches the Rfam family "Bacterial small subunit ribosomal RNA", at positions 355 to 774 of the family's 1533-position model. Lineage: Bacteria; Pseudomonadati; Pseudomonadota; Alphaproteobacteria; Rhodospirillales; Rhodospirillaceae. The record is from RNAcentral.
UGGGGAAUAUUGGACAAUGGGGGCAACCCUGAUCCAGCAAUGCCGCGUGAGUGAUGAAGGCCUUAGGGUUGUAAAGCUCUUUCGCACGCGACGAUGAUGACGGUAGCGUGAGAAGAAGCCCCGGCUAACUUCGUGCCAGCAGCCGCGGUAAUACGAAGGGGGCUAGCGUUGUUCGGAAUUACUGGGCGUAAAGGGCGCGUAGGCGGUCCUAUCAGUCAGGCGUGAAAGCCCCGGGCUCAACCUGGGAACUGCGCUUGAUACUGUAGGGCUAGAGUUUCGGAGAGGAUGGUGGAAUUCCCAGUGUAGAGGUGAAAUUCGUAGAUAUUGGGAAGAACACCGGUGGCGAAGGCGACCAUCUGGACGAACACUGACGCUGAGGCGCGAAAGCGUGGGGAGCAAACA